UACAGAGGUCUCAAGCGUUGUUCGGAUUCAUUGGGCGUAAAGGGUGCGUAGGCGGCGCGGUAAGUCGGGUGUGAAAUCUCGGAGCUUAACUCCGAAACUGCAUUCGAUACUACCGUGCUUGAGGACUGGAGAGGAGACUGGAAUUUACGGUGUAGCGGUGAAAUGCGCAGAUAUCAGGAGGAACACCCGUGGCGAAGGCGGCUCUCUGGGACGGUACUGACGCUGAGACGCGAAAGCGUGGGGAGCAAACAGG
This 253-nucleotide ribosomal RNA is filed under the name uncultured bacterium. RNAcentral's name for it is "partial 16S ribosomal RNA". It matches the Rfam family "Bacterial small subunit ribosomal RNA", at positions 524 to 776 of the family's 1533-position model. The record is from RNAcentral.